GUGUCUUUGGCGGGUGCCUGGCGUUGCGGGGCGCUUAUUCCGAUUCCGGUAGCCGGGACCCCGAACUCUGAAUCCGACCAUCUCCUGCCACUUCGGACGCAGGACCAAUACUCCCCCCACCUCGAGCUCCGGCCUUGGACCCCCGAGACUCUUAACUUAAGGACAAACGCAGGCCUGCUUACCCGUCUAGCCCAAGCACUGGCUUUCCGGCCGCUGACUGGGAUUAUGCCGGCAGGAAAGGGUCCUUAGCCCCAUCUCCGGCUGCAAGCUAAGAAGCCAUCGAAUGAAUGAAGUAGUUUCCCAGAAUCCGACCCGCCCAGAGAAUUCUCCGCCCAGAAAAAGCCCGCUUAGAGUCCUUUAAAAACCUCUGACUUCCCGUCUUUGGGGGCUGGUGCCAUUUUGAGGCUUAGCCCAUCCAGGUUUCCAGAUGACCUAGUAAAUUCAUAAUUCUAUA
Myotis lucifugus (little brown bat) is the source of this 454-nucleotide long non-coding RNA. RefSeq lists it as uncharacterized. Lineage: Eukaryota; Metazoa; Chordata; Mammalia; Chiroptera; Vespertilionidae. The record is from RefSeq and is a predicted model, not a curated record. The transcript is spliced from 2 exons.